This 443-nucleotide ribosomal RNA is filed under the name uncultured bacterium. RNAcentral's name for it is "partial 16S ribosomal RNA". It matches the Rfam family "Bacterial small subunit ribosomal RNA", at positions 338 to 795 of the family's 1533-position model. The record is from RNAcentral.
ACUACGGGGAGCAGCAGUGGGGAAUAUUGGGCAAUGGGCGCAAGCCUGACCCAGCAACGCCGCGUGAAGGAAGAAGGCUUUCGGGUUGUAAACUUCUUUUGUCAGGGACGAAGCAAGUGACGGUACCUGACGAAUAAGCCACGGCUAACUACGUGCCAGCAGCCGCGGUAAUACGUAGGUGGCAAGCGUUAUCCGGAUUUACUGGGUGUAAAGGGCGUGUAGGCGGGGAAGCAAGUCAGAUGUGAAAACCACGGGCUCAACCUGUGGCCUGCAUUUGAAACUGUUUUUCUUGAGUGCUGGAGAGGCAAUCGGAAUUCCGUGGGUAGCGGUGAAAUGCGUAGAUAUACGGAGGAACACCAGUGGCGAAGGCGGAUUGCUGGACAGUAACUGACGCUGAGGCGCGAAAGCGUGGGGAGCAAACAGGAUUAGAUACCCCUGUAGUC